Ceratitis capitata (Mediterranean fruit fly) is the source of this 83-nucleotide long non-coding RNA. RefSeq lists it as uncharacterized. The transcript is spliced from 3 exons. The record is from RefSeq and is a predicted model, not a curated record. NCBI's taxonomy places the organism in Eukaryota, Metazoa, Arthropoda, Insecta, Diptera, Tephritidae.
CUUUCACCUUCCAGAUGCUCAAACAUGUUUUACGAAGUUCAGCAGAUUAAUAAUGCCUAAAGAUGCAAAACUCAAAGGAAAUA